Molecule: ribosomal RNA, 427 nt
Filed under: uncultured beta proteobacterium
Lineage: Bacteria; Pseudomonadati; Pseudomonadota; Betaproteobacteria
Description: bacterial SSU rRNA
Rfam family: Bacterial small subunit ribosomal RNA
Source: RNAcentral
UGGGGAAUUUUGGACAAUGGGCGAAAGCCUGAUCCAGCCACGCCGCGUGAGUGAAGAAGGCCUUCGGGUUGUAAAGCUCUUUUAGUCGGAAAGAAAGAGUUGCAAUGAAUAAUUGUGAUUUAUGACGGUACCGACAGAAAAAGCACCGGCUAACUACGUGCCAGCAGCCGCGGUAAUACGUAGGGUGCGAGCGUUAAUCGGAAUUACUGGGCGUAAAGGGUGCGCAGGCGGUCUUGCAAGUCAGAUGUGAAAGCCCCGGGCUUAACCUGGGAAUUGCGUUUGAAACUACAAGACUAGAGUGCAGCAGAGGGGAGUGGAAUUCCAUGUGUAGCAGUGAAAUGCGUAGAGAUGUGGAAGAACACCGAUGGCGAAGGCAGCUCCCUGGGUUGACACUGACGCUCAUGCACGAAAGCGUGGGGAGCAAACA